This is a non-coding RNA of Xylariales sp. PMI_506, 87 nucleotides long. The record is from the annotation of a GenBank genome assembly. NCBI's taxonomy places the organism in Eukaryota, Fungi, Ascomycota, Sordariomycetes, Xylariales.
GGUCGAUUAGUGUAGCUGGUUAUCACAGCGGAUUCUGACUCAUACUUGGACAUUCCGCUAACCUGGGUUCGAAUCCCAGAUUGACCU